GUGCUCACUUUGGCAGCACAUACACUAAAAUUGAAAUGAUACAGAGAUUAACAAUGGCUCCUGUGCAAGGAUGACAUGCAAUUCUGUAAUGCAUUUCAUAUGUUU
This is a small nuclear RNA of Callithrix jacchus (white-tufted-ear marmoset), 105 nucleotides long. NCBI's taxonomy places the organism in Eukaryota, Metazoa, Chordata, Mammalia, Primates, Cebidae. The record is from Ensembl.